UCAUGUGUAAAGAUCCCAGCUGUCCUCCGCAACGCCAUCAUUCGUAUCCUGCUCAGCCCGGAUGUGACCAUCAGCUCCCACCGCUGCCACUACCGGUUCGAGUGCAGGAGCAAGGGGAACGAGCUGCUGAUGGUCGUGGGGCCUUCCAAUAUCUGUGCCUGAAAUGCCAACUGCUUGCCUCAGCUAGAGCACCCACUGUGGAAGCUGAAUGGUGGCAGCUGGGUGUCUCCUCUGUCUUUCGUCCAGCGGGAGGAGCUGGAGAAGCUCCAGCCAGCAGCCCCACCAGGAGCUUGGGUGUGCGCCCGCACGGCGCCAGCGUGUCCUGUGCCCUGGCCCCCGCAGGCGCUCCUGAUUUCCAAAAAACGGCUGUCACAGUGAGCAAAAGGUGGAUAUCUCGGAUUGGAGCUUGUACCUUGGCAAACAGCGACUCCGGAAGGAGCCUAUGGAAAAGCAGCUGGGAAUCUUCCCAUGAAGCUGUCCUUCGUACAAAUGGGGCAAAGCAAGAACUCUGAACACGAGGGCCACAGAGGCUGCUAUGGCAUGAAGGACGGCUGAGGGUGGACAGCAGAAUGGUGAGCAAGGACAGCAGGGUGCACCAGCCAUCUGGACGAGGCGUUUGCAUGAGACUGACCCUGAGUGCUUCCUCCAGUUCUGUUGCCCGUGUUUUUAAAAAUCAUUGAAAAAUGGAAGGGGUCCAGAAAAAAGCCCCAGAAAUGGCUGACAAAAAAUACUUCUAUUGUACAUUACGUAUUAGUGUAUAAGCAUAGGUUUAGGGAGAUUAGAGAGGAUACCAGAAGUCUAUUUGUCUAUUGGAUAAAAGCAUAACAGAAAGUAAUGAGUAGAAGCUGAGACUGGACAAAGUCAUACUGAAAAUAAUGGUGUAGGAGAUUCCCUAUUGGAAGAAGGAAGGUGCAUUCUCCAUCUCUUAGUGUUUGCUUCUCAACUCCGGGUGUCUUUCUAGAGAUGUUUUCCCCAAACACGUACUAGGUGCAGUACCCAGUAACACAUAAAGGCUGCUAAAACAGGCAAUGAAGCAGGCAGUCCAAGAGAGAGCAUCCCCCUUCAUUGCUGCACUGGCAGAAGGGCAGCACCAACACGGAGAUGGCGGCAUGAUCCUGACCAGGACAGGAAGCAACGCCAAGAGAGAUGCCACCAGAUCUCAGCAGGGCUCAGCUGCCUCCCAGCAUGGCCCCGUCCCACGGGCCCGCUGGGACCCCCUCUCCAGCCAUGACCGGCUCAGUGCUCCCCAUCCCACUGUCCUCCAGGGCGCACUGGACAUGCCUGGCUCCUGGGAUUCAGGCAACCUUCGACAGGCAGCUCUGAAAGCUGGGAAAGAUGGGUCAUCCUCAGAAUAGACUGUCUUAAGGUCACCUUUGGCUCUCAGACCUCUAUUUAAAGAUGCAAGAGCUUCAUUUAAUGCUGAACACAGGACACCCCAGGGGUGCAUUCACAUGCCCUUCAGUUCAGAUCUCUCUUCUGGAGAUGCUGCUGCAAAUCUCCAAGGAAAAGUCUGGACCAGUAGCCCUUCUCCAGAACCAGGCAAUGGGGGCCGGGAGAUCCUGGCCCCAGAAAGCCAGGGCUUAACUCUGCUCCCAGACAUGAGCAGCAAGGAGGCAGACCCUGUGUCCUGCGUUCAGUGAGGAAGGGAGAGAGUGGUGGGGAGAUGAGGAUUUCUUACUGACUUCUGGGAACUGGAGCUCUUGUCUGUGUCAAGGAUAUUAUUUAUGCUCACGAGAUGCAGACUGAUUAUGAGAAACAUAUUGAUUGAGGUUUCACAGCUACUGAACACAGUAGAUAUGUAUCAGUUACACCACAGCCCAAACCUGUAUCAAUGUGUUUCUAAUAAUCAGCUGGCAUCUCAUUAACAUAAAUAACUGUCUUAUCCCAUUUGGGAGAGCGGCUCCGUGGCUUGCUAACUGCACAUUACUGAAAUGCCAAUUGCUUAUUAGAACAAUCUUUCUGCAGGUCUAACUCCCAGGGAAUGGUGGCGUAAUAAGACAUCACUUGUUACAUAGUUGUUAGACCUUGGUAAAUAUGUUUCUAAUCAGCAAUUAGUACUCAAUUAACACACUGAAAAUAUCAUUUUCAGUCUAAAUGAAGCUUUUACAGAAAUCUGGAAAGAAAAGUGAGAAGAUGCAAGUAAACAAAGCUUGGAUUACAAGCUAAAAUCAAAAAGACGCAUAUGGAAGAACAGCUCAAGUGCUCACUCGAUGCUUAGGACAAAUUUUCAUGUCAUGUCAAUAUAGCUCCAGGAAAAAUGGUGUUGUUCACUUUGUCAUAGAGACAAAAGGCCAAAACUGGCCAGGAAACCUUGGUAGCCCAUCGCAAAAUUGCAGGAGGUAAAGCUGGGACUGACUUGCGGGCUAAGCCUUGCCAAGAGCCAUCCCUUCAUGACCCUGCCCGUAUAGUCUCCCUGUUUACUACUGGGAGUCUAAAAGUGGGACCAGGUGUCAUUCACAUGUGCUCAGGAAGGUGGAAGAAAAGAUGCUCCACUUCAAAAUAAAUGGUGCGUUUCAGUUUUCCUCCA
Struthio camelus australis is the source of this 2527-nucleotide long non-coding RNA. The record is from Ensembl. Lineage: Eukaryota; Metazoa; Chordata; Aves; Struthioniformes; Struthionidae.